This is a long non-coding RNA of Cyprinus carpio (common carp), 469 nucleotides long. RefSeq lists it as uncharacterized. The transcript has 3 exons. The record is from RefSeq and is a predicted model, not a curated record. NCBI's taxonomy places the organism in Eukaryota, Metazoa, Chordata, Actinopteri, Cypriniformes, Cyprinidae.
AUCGCUAUCUUUAUUAUCUUUUGAAAAUAGUAAAGUAAGUUAUAUCGUUACGUUAGUUUACAAAUGGGUAGCUUAAAGGACAUGUAACCUGCAGAAGAUAAAUAAAUACCUGUGUGUGUAUUUUUGUAUUGCUUUAUCACAGAUGCUCAAGUUAGAUGCUCAUCUGAUGUUGUUGUGUUGCUGGUAAAUUAUGUGUUAAUGUCUGUCUUUUAGAGAUUUUUCCACAUUUUCCUGAUAUGAAUCCCAUGGAUUAGAGUCAUCAAGGAUCCAGCUUAUUAUUGAAACAUUGGACAGUACAGAAAGCACACAAGUGGGAGAGAGUGGAGGGGACGGCGUCAGAAAGGACCUAGGGCUGGGACUCUUUCAAGGAUCACCUGAAGCACAACCACACUAUAUGCACGAGGCUGUUGGUUCUAACAUUUUAGGUUCCCCUUCGGUAGAAAUCACAUUCCGCGUUCCCUGCGGUAAA